This 317-nucleotide long non-coding RNA is filed under the name Bos taurus (domestic cattle). RNAcentral describes it as "long non-coding RNA NONBTAT017954". The record is from RNAcentral. Lineage: Eukaryota; Metazoa; Chordata; Mammalia; Artiodactyla; Bovidae.
GACUGUGCAUCUUUUGAAAAACCUUAAACCUUGGGGUACACUUUCUGGAGUUGGAAACCACUGAUCCAGACCCCUGCAGGCUAGAACUCCUGCCCUAUUUCUCCUGGGGGCAUGUGCUGUCUUUCCAUGUCAGGGAAGAAACACAGAAGCUGUCAUUGUCCCCCACAUCAGGUGUAACGCCUAACUCUGCCUCCCACACCCCUCUUUCUUUGCACCCCACUUCCUCAUCCCAUAAACUUCUCUGUGUACUAGAAUCAUCUAUGGAUGAGAAUUUAGUAUCUCAGUCCUACUCAUGACUCAACAUGAGAGUCGUGGCC